Molecule: ribosomal RNA, 409 nt
Filed under: Gillisia sp.
Lineage: Bacteria; Pseudomonadati; Bacteroidota; Flavobacteriia; Flavobacteriales; Flavobacteriaceae
Description: bacterial SSU rRNA
Rfam family: Bacterial small subunit ribosomal RNA
Source: RNAcentral
GUGCCAGCAGCCGCGGUAAUACGGAGGAUCCAAGCGUUAUCCGGAAUCAUUGGGUUUAAAGGGUCCGUAGGCGGGACAAUCAGUCAGCGGUGAAAGUCUGUGGCUCAACCAUAGAAUUGCCAUUGAUACUGUUGUUCUUGAAUACUUAUGAAGUGGUUGGAAUAUGUAGUGUAGCGGUGAAAUGCAUAGAUAUUACAUAGAACACCGAUUGCGAAGGCAGAUCACUAAUAAGUCAUUGACGCUGAUGGACGAAAGCGUAGGUAGCGAACAGGAUUAGAUACCCUGGUAGUCUACGCCGUAAACGAUGGUUACUAGCUGUUCGGUCGCAAGACUGAGUGGCUAAGCGAAAGUGAUAAGUAACCCACCUGGGGAGUACGUUCGCAAGAAUGAAACUCAAAGGAAUUGACGG